RNAcentral lists this ribosomal RNA (409 nucleotides) under uncultured Acetivibrio sp. RNAcentral describes it as "bacterial SSU rRNA". It matches the Rfam family "Bacterial small subunit ribosomal RNA", at positions 282 to 746 of the family's 1533-position model. The record is from RNAcentral. Lineage: Bacteria; Bacillati; Bacillota; Clostridia; Acetivibrionales; Acetivibrionaceae.
AUAACACCUGGAAACAGAUGCACAUUGGGACUGAGACACGGCCCAAACUCCUACGGGAGGCAGCAGUGGGGAAUAUUGCACAAUGGGGGAAACCCUGAUGCAGCGACGCCGCGUGAGCGAAGAAGUAUUUCGGUAUGUAAAGCUCUAUCAGCAGGGAAGAAACUGACGGUACCUGACUAAGAAGCACCGGCUAAAUACGUGCCAGCGGUAAUACGUAUGGUGCAAGCGUUAUCCGGAUUUACUGGGUGUAAAGGGAGCGUAGACGGAUUUGCAAGUAAAGCCCGGGGCUCAACCCCGGGACUGCUUUGGAAACUGUAGGUCUUGAGUGCAAUUGGAGAGAGCGGUGAAAUGCGUAGAUAUUAGGAGGAACACCAGUGGCGAAGGCGGCUUACUGGACAGUAACUGACGU